Molecule: long non-coding RNA, 342 nt
Filed under: Lupinus angustifolius (narrow-leaved blue lupine)
Lineage: Eukaryota; Viridiplantae; Streptophyta; Magnoliopsida; Fabales; Fabaceae
Description: long non-coding RNA (LANG_LNC003085)
Source: RNAcentral
AAAAAGGAUAUCAGGUCAAAGAUUUUGUUUAAUACAAGCUAAAACCAUCCUAAGGAUUGAAUAAGAGACAAAUUUGAAUUUCUGAAUUUUAAUUUUAUAUUUGUAUUAAUAAAAAGAAUUAGUGGAUGAUUUUUUUGAGUAUUAGUUGAUACCAAUUAUGAAAUUUUUGUUGUUUUUGAUAUACAUUGGUGGAGCUGCACUUUUAAGUUUACUAUUUGGAGUUUCCUUCAACACUAAUGUUACUAUUUGGAGAUGUUGAUGUGGAUGACAUGGAUUAAAAUCAAAGAUGUUGCCAUUGUAUGAGGCCUGCCAGAAAGAAGACAAUCCCCCAUAUCAGUGUGC